Long non-coding RNA from Mugil cephalus (flathead mullet), 261 nucleotides. RefSeq lists it as uncharacterized. The transcript has 3 exons. The record is from RefSeq and is a predicted model, not a curated record. Lineage: Eukaryota; Metazoa; Chordata; Actinopteri; Mugiliformes; Mugilidae.
CUGGUCUGGUCCGGUCCGGUCCGGUCCGGUCUGGUCCGGUCCGGUCCGGUCUGGUCUGGUCCAGUCUGCUGGUAGAGACCAUCGGGAGCAGGGCAGGAGCUGUGGGUCAGAGGAGCAAGUUCUUGAAUGAGACUGUUGAUGUCAACACCUGAAGACAGGACUCCCUGAAAUCUGCCUCGGUCAAGGUUUUAAAUGCCUCAUCAAAGAAAGUUGAAGCUGAAAAAGAAAUGCAGCAGGAGUCCAUGGUGAUCGUUGUCGUCC